GUGAGUAUCGACUUCGCGCUCCAAGAGAUCGAACAUUGGCGCGCGCUCCAGCCGCGUGAAAUGGAUACCAGUUUGGAACGCGCGCCAAAAUGUUCGUUGGAGCGGUCGAACGCGGAGCGGUCCGUUCCGUCGGGUGUCGGUUUUUUACCGCGCAUCAAACGUGGCGCGCGCGCCAAUGGAGACGGGUUUGUCGUAUUUUUUGUGUUUGUUGCGCUCCGAGUAAUAAUUAUGGAUAACCAAAGUUGCCGUAAAUUAAUUCAGCA
Molecule: long non-coding RNA, 263 nt
Organism: Colias croceus (clouded yellow)
Lineage: Eukaryota; Metazoa; Arthropoda; Insecta; Lepidoptera; Pieridae
Exons: 4
Source: RefSeq, a predicted model, not a curated record